UGGCUCAGGACGAACGCUGGCGGCGUGCCUAAUACAUGCAAGUAGAACGCUGAGGUCUGGUGCUUGCACUAGACCAAGGAGUUGCGAACGGGUGAGUAACGCGUAGGUAACCUACCUCAUAGCGGGGGAUAACUAUUGGAAACGAUAGCUAAUACCGCAUGACAAUAGAGUACACAUGUGCUUAAUUUAAAAGGGGCAAUUGCUCCACUAUGAGAUGGACCUGCGUUGUAUUAGCUAGUUGGUGAGGUAACGGCUCACCAAGGCGACGAUACAUAGCCGACCUGAGAGGGUGAUCGGCCACACUGGGACUGAGACACGGCCCAGACUCCUACGGGAGGCAGCAGUAGGGAAUCUUCGGCAAUGGGGGGAACCCUGACCGAGCAACGCCGCGUGAGUGAAGAAGGUUUUCGGAUCGUAAAGCUCUGUUGUUAGAGAAGAACGGUAAUGGGAG
RNAcentral lists this ribosomal RNA (451 nucleotides) under Streptococcus iniae. RNAcentral describes it as "bacterial SSU rRNA". It matches the Rfam family "Bacterial small subunit ribosomal RNA", at positions 20 to 461 of the family's 1533-position model. Lineage: Bacteria; Bacillati; Bacillota; Bacilli; Lactobacillales; Streptococcaceae. The record is from RNAcentral. RNAcentral also lists the same sequence under 1 other name.